RNAcentral lists this transfer RNA (65 nucleotides) under Branchipolynoe segonzaci. RNAcentral's name for it is "Branchinotogluma segonzaci tRNA-Leu". Lineage: Eukaryota; Metazoa; Annelida; Polychaeta; Phyllodocida; Polynoidae. The record is from RNAcentral.
AAUUAGUUGACAGAUUUAAUGUAUUUGAUUUAGGAUCAAAUUAUGGAGUAUCACUUCACUAAUUA